ACGACCUCAACUCAAGCAAGACUACCCGCUGA
RNAcentral lists this ribosomal RNA (32 nucleotides) under Steinernema sp. Tito13. RNAcentral's name for it is "partial 28S ribosomal RNA". Lineage: Eukaryota; Metazoa; Nematoda; Chromadorea; Rhabditida; Steinernematidae. The record is from RNAcentral.